RNAcentral lists this long non-coding RNA (1963 nucleotides) under Venturia canescens. Its description in RNAcentral is "uncharacterized LOC122412352". Lineage: Eukaryota; Metazoa; Arthropoda; Insecta; Hymenoptera; Ichneumonidae. The record is from RNAcentral.
GGAACCGCUGACGUUGAAGCGAAAAAAUCGAGGCAGUAUCAGCACAUGGACAGUGACGCUAGAAUAUUUUUCAAAGCGAAGCGUUUCAAGAAGUCGCGUCCCCUCUUUUUUUCGACAUUUUGCCAUUCGCUGGUUACUGACCGUGAACGCGGGAUCUCCAGCUGUGUCAGAGGGUUAUCGAGUGAUUCGUCGUUCGUCGGGGCUACACCGCACUCUCGUUACGUGAUAGAGGCGCACUCGCACUUGUAACGAUAGCAGAGUUAGACGAUUUUACGUUUGCACGUAUAAAACUGUCUAUAACUGUAUCCAGCGGUAUGCGUACACGUGUGAACACCUCGGCGAGCACACAAAUAUAUUUGCAUCGCUGACGCAUGUGUAUGUACGCACUAAAAUAACACAUUGAGGGAAGGAACGAGCGUGAACGCGUAUUUUAUAGUGAUCAUUCGAGCCGGAGUUGUAGAGCGUCAAAUUUAGUGGUGUAUAGUCGGUGUUACUUCGGAUAGAAUGGACGUUCGGCGUUUAAUACUCCUGUUGCCGGUUUCGAUGUUGAUCCUAGUUAUUUGUACAACAUGUGCGAGCGCCUGGUCGUUUCGAAGCCUCGUUGACUCUUUCAACGCGGGCUCCGCCAGCAGGGAUAUUUCGUCGGGGGAUACGGCAAGCAACUACGAGACGACGAAGAAUCUUGGCGAGCAGAACGAGACCAAAGUGGACGGGCCCUACGACUUGGCCAAGAUAAUAACUGCCCCGCGUCGCAAAGUAGUUAAUACGUGCGGACCUGGACAAAGAAAAGAUCGUCGAGGCAAGUGCAGAACUACAUGGUGAUCACGGAGCACUCGGAGCCGGUCAAUCUUUCGAAGGAUUCCAUACUCAAUUACACAUUAUAACUGACGCAAAAUCCAGAGUGGUAAGGACCAUACGGAGGACGAUCGAUAGCCUAAACCGAGCGAUAAGGUCACCCUAGGAGCACGGCAGAGGACUCGACGAGGCAGGAGAACGUGACACACACACUCGGACACAUUCCCACACAGAGAUACGCACACAAACAAAAUACACACCGAGCCCGCGGCUCUGUGUGGCACAGACAUUCCCCUACACACACACACGCGCGCGCACACACACACACACACACACACACACACACACACACACACAGAGCAAGAACGACGGGGGUCUUCUCGAAUUAACUCUCUCGACGUUACAGAUCAAGAUAUAUAGAAGCCCCGAUACACAUACAGAUAUACAUCUCCAAGAGCGUACACAUUUAACACCGAAUCUCGUGCUUUCACCGAUUUCCAACACCGACGAAGUUCCACACGCAUGCACACACGAGCCCACUAAUACCAUUUAGAAUCAUCGAAUCCAACGUUGAAUAAUUGAGCGAUGCUUAUACCAUUGGAUAAUAGCUACAUCGCUCAAUAUACCCACCAAUCUAUAUACAUUGUAUCUAUGUACAUUUUCCUAAUAUGUAGACAAUACACAUAGACGUAUAUGCGUGCGUGUGACACGCAUUAAACCGGAUUUCCAAAAUCGAUUUAUAACAUUAUAUCAACUCAGUUUUCCCGUGCGAUACCUCCUUUCUCUGUGUAACUAUGAGUUUAUACAGUGUACACGUGUAUGCGCGAAUGUUGCCGAUAGUAACACAGCGGCGCGAGGUCAAAACAUUACCGAAUAUUUCGCCAUCGGCGCCCCUCCUCCUUCUAUCCAGCGGAGCAUCACCAUCCAACAAAACACCGGCUAUGGAAUAUUCACGAGAAAUUCAUUACCUUCUGGAAGGGUCGGCGAUCUUCCCUCUGCGGGUACACACAUAAUGGUGUUACAACGCUGAAGCCUGCUUAUGAACAAGAUGUACCUUAUUUCCCGCUAGGCAAUAUGUAUCUCGGGCUCAAUCGUAGCGUGUAUUAAUACACACGUUUUGUACGCCAUACUCGCUACCUCUGAAGAAAUAUACAAUUUAUUCGAAAAA